UGGUGAUGGUUACCAUGGUGUUCAUGGUGAUGAUGAUGCUUGCCAUGGUGGUCAUGGUGGUUGUCAUCAUCGUCAUCAUCAUCAUCAUCGUCAUGA
Molecule: microRNA precursor, 96 nt
Filed under: Podarcis lilfordi (Lilford's wall lizard)
Lineage: Eukaryota; Metazoa; Chordata; Lepidosauria; Squamata; Lacertidae
Source: RNAcentral